ACGCGGACCUGAGGUAGAAGCGGGUCGGCUCGCGGGUUAUAGGAGUGAAACGGCGUCGUUUUGGCCACUGAGGUUAAGGCCCAAAACGGCGCCGUCUAGGUCCUCUAUAAAAACCAAAAUUUAAAAAAAAACCCUCAAUUCUUCCUUUGUUCUCCAAAAAUAUCAGAAAAACCUCUCCCCCAUCUCCUUCAAUUCCCAGAAUCCAGCCUGCCCCGACGCCGGACCACCGUGGCGGCCGCCGUACACGGUGGCCGAAAACUGAAAAGGCCCCACUUUUUUUGGGGUUUUCGAUUCCAAGGCCAAAAAAACACCGAUUUUCAUCGGAAUCGGUACCUCAAUCUCGCGAUGGCGCAAAAGGUACGGAGGGACUGUACGGCGGUGACGUGGAGGGGACGCGUGGGAGAGCAGGUGGCGGCAGAAGCUAGGGCAAGAGCGGCGGCUAGCUAGGGUUUUUUCUCUCUUUUUUUUUUUGGGGCUGUUUGGGUUUGGAAUUUUAGGCCUGUUACUUUAUUUUGUAAUUUGGGGUAGGGUAAUAUGGGCUUGUAAAAAGAAUUGAGUUUUGGCAUUAAUUAUUUUUUGUGUUUUAUUAUUUGGGUUUGGGUCAGGCCCAAAAAUGGCCUAUUACAAUGCUAACAUCAGAUUUAUUUUUCAAGAGGUAAAGUCAUUUCACUCGACUACAAUCAUCAAUAAAUGAAACACCAGGAAUAUUUGAACUGGUAGAAAAAGGAACAAAAGGUUUUUUUAUUAUUAUUUUUUAUUACUUAUUGGAAAGGAAACAUGUUUGUACUUGGCAAGUUCACAAUCAUUAAAAUGAAAGGCUUCAGAAGUAAGACCUUUAAAUGAAGAAGAAAACAUCAACAUGAACUCUAAAAGAUGGAUGACCUAAACAAUGAUGAUGAAGCUAAAUUUUAUUUUGGUUUGACAUGACAGACUCGGAAAAAAAUGAUAUAGAUAUAAGAUUUUCAACACGUUAUACUGCUUUCUUUUUCCAGGAAGUAGAGACUGUCUCUCUAACUAGCACGUCCAAUCAUCUUCUUCGUGUCCAGUGGAAAAAUGUUACACUGCAAUUUGAAUCUGUGGUUAAUUGUUGAAUGAAAAUAAGGCUUGCAAAUAGCUUUGGAACAUGGAGGACAUUUCUUAGUGUAAGGUUCUUGUUUAUGUAAACAUCCCCUUGGCCAGCUAUGAUGGUGAUGGAUUCGUCGACUAUUGUGAUAUUUUUAUGGCUACAAUUUGGAGUAUAAGAGAUAAAAUGUUUGGAGGAACAAGUCAUAUAGUCAGUGGCUUUGGAAUCAAUCACCCACAUGGGAGGAGAAUUUCUUUUUGAGACAUUAGUACAAGAGGAAGAAGAAAUACCUGAAAACAUCAAUGAACAAGUACCUGUCGAGGUUGACUUCUCAAACGAUCCCAAAAAGGUUUUUCAUUGGGCUUGCCAUGAAGUUUACAGCAUCUCUCCUUGGUGUGACGAUGCUUCUCGCAAUAUGUGCAGAAUAGAAAAUUUUGAUUGAAUGGUUUGGUUGAGUCCCCUUGAGUAACUAAUGAAGGAAUGUCCGUCUCUUUCAAUUCUGUGGCUUUGGUAACAAGUGUAGAACCAUUUCCCUGACGUCCCUUUUCAGCACGUAUAAUAGAGAUUGUCCCAUUCAAAGAUGGUAAGUCCAAAUUUUCCAAAAUCUGCACUCUUAUAGCAUCAAAUUCAACAUUUAAUCCUGCAAGAAAAUCAUAAAUACGAUUUUUCUCCACAAAUCGCUUCAGAAUUGCUGCAUCUUCAUUGUAGCGCAUUUGGAUGCAUUGAUGAUGGUCCAUCUUUUGCCACAAGCCUUGUAAGAAACUCGAAUAUUCAAUGACAGUUUGUGUCCCUUGUUUAGUUGUUGAAAUUUUUGUCUUAAUUUCGUAGAUUUUUGUAGCAUCAUUAACCUUGGAAUAUGCUUGUCAAAUAGCUUCCCAAAUCUCCUUGGCAGUUCUGAGAAACAUGCAUGCAUCACUAAUUUCUGGCAGCAUCGAGUUCCAUAACCAUGACAUCAGCAUGGAGUCUUGUUCGUCCCACGCGCAAAUUUGGGAUCGUCCUGCAAAAGACCUGUGCCCAUUAAAUGGCUUAAUGUUUCUC
Long non-coding RNA from Gossypium raimondii (Peruvian cotton), 2101 nucleotides. RefSeq lists it as uncharacterized. NCBI's taxonomy places the organism in Eukaryota, Viridiplantae, Streptophyta, Magnoliopsida, Malvales, Malvaceae. The record is from RefSeq and is a predicted model, not a curated record. The transcript has 3 exons.